RNAcentral lists this transfer RNA (84 nucleotides) under Candidatus Parcubacteria bacterium. RNAcentral's name for it is "tRNA-Leu". It matches the Rfam family "tRNA". Rfam says of the family: Transfer RNA (tRNA) molecules are approximately 80 nucleotides in length. Their secondary structure includes four short double-helical elements and three loops (D, anti-codon, and T loops). Lineage: Bacteria; Candidatus Parcubacteria. The record is from RNAcentral.
GGGCGAGUGGUGAAACUGGUAGACACGCCAGUCUUAGGAACUGGUGCUCGCAAGAGCUUGUGGGUUCGACUCCCACCCCGCCCA